This 114-nucleotide ribosomal RNA is filed under the name Acanthosepion pharaonis. The record is from RNAcentral. Lineage: Eukaryota; Metazoa; Mollusca; Cephalopoda; Sepiida; Sepiidae.
UUACGGUCAAAUCACGCUGAAACACCGGUUCUCGUUCGAUCACCGAAGUUAAGCAUCGUAGAGCCAGGUCAGUACUUGGAUGGGGGACCGCUUGGGAACACCUGGUACUGUAAG